RNAcentral lists this ribosomal RNA (672 nucleotides) under Blautia sp. A-C4-0. Its description in RNAcentral is "bacterial SSU rRNA". It matches the Rfam family "Bacterial small subunit ribosomal RNA", at positions 44 to 733 of the family's 1533-position model. The record is from RNAcentral. Lineage: Bacteria; Bacillati; Bacillota; Clostridia; Lachnospirales; Lachnospiraceae.
UCGAGCGAAGCAUUUAAGACAGAACUCUUCGGAUUGAGUCUUAUCUGACUGAGCGGCGGACGGGUGAGUAACGCGUGGGUAACCUGCCUCAUACAGGGGGAUAACAGUUAGAAAUGACUGCUAAUACCGCAUAAGCGCACAGGGCUGCAUGGCCCGGUGUGAAAAACUCCGGUGGUAUGAGAUGGACCCGCGUCUGAUUAGCUGGUUGGAGGGGUAACGGCCCACCAAGGCGACGAUCAGUAGCCGGCCUGAGAGGGUGAACGGCCACAUUGGGACUGAGACACGGCCCAGACUCCUACGGGAGGCAGCAGUGGGGAAUAUUGCACAAUGGGGGAAACCCUGAUGCAGCGACGCCGCGUGAAGGAAGAAGUAUCUCGGUAUGUAAACUUCUAUCAGCAGGGAAGAAAAUGACGGUACCUGACUAAGAAGCCCCGGCUAACUACGUGCCAGCAGCCGCGGUAAUACGUAGGGGGCAAGCGUUAUCCGGAUUUACUGGGUGUAAAGGGAGCGUAGACGGAAGAGCAAGUCUGAUGUGAAAGGCUGGGGCUUAACCCCAGGACUGCAUUGGAAACUGUUUUUCUAGAGUGCCGGAGAGGUAAGCGGAAUUCCUAGUGUAGCGGUGAAAUGCGUAGAUAUUAGGAGGAACACCAGUGGCGAAGGCGGCUUACUGGA